UCAGACGAUGCGUCAUGCAUAUCAAUAAGCGGAGGAAAAGAAACUAACAAGGAUUCCCCUAGUAACGGCGAGUGAAGCGGGAAGAGCUCAAAUUUGAAAUCUUAAAGGGUUUCCCUUUACGAAUCGUAGUUUAAAGAAGUGUUUUCUGUUGAGGUUUUGGUAAAAGUUCUUUGGAAUAGGACAUCAUAGAGGGUGAGAAUCCCGUAUUUGACCUUUACUUUCAACUUUGUGAUACACUUUCAAAGAGUCGGAUUGUUUGGGAAUGCAGUCCAAAAUGGGUGGUAAAUUUCAUCUAAAGCUAAAUAUUGGCGAGAGACCGAUAGCGAACAAGUACCGUGAGGGAAAGAUGAAAAAAACUUUGAAAAGAGAGUUAAACAGUACGUGAAAUUGUCAAAAGGGAAGCGUUUGACACCAGUGUUGUUUUUCUGAAAAUCAAUUAAAGAACUGUUUAUGCUAAGCUGUUUAGACUUUAUCAGCUAUCUGUUUAGUUUUGAGCUUUUCUUUAAUGCACUUUUCAGUUAACAAGUCAACAUCAAUUUCUUUUGCUGUAAAAAAGCUUGAGGAAGGUGGCUUGAGAUUCGUCUUAAGUGUUUAUAGCCUCUUGCCUAUGCAGUCGGAGAGAUUGAGGUCUGCAGCGUAGAUCCUUCGGGGCUAAAUGCAUUUGUGCUAAGUUAUAGCAUUUUAUAGACAACUUGUUGACUAUGACUUGUCUUGUAGCUUACUCGCUUAUGUUAUUUUACCUACGCUUAGGAUGUUGACACACGCGCGUGCUCG
RNAcentral lists this ribosomal RNA (774 nucleotides) under uncultured Neocallimastigales. RNAcentral's name for it is "partial large subunit ribosomal RNA". It matches the Rfam family "Eukaryotic large subunit ribosomal RNA", at positions 18 to 643 of the family's 3401-position model. Lineage: Eukaryota; Fungi; Neocallimastigomycota; Neocallimastigomycetes; Neocallimastigales. The record is from RNAcentral.